RNAcentral lists this long non-coding RNA (249 nucleotides) under Elaeis guineensis (African oil palm). RNAcentral's name for it is "long non-coding RNA (EGUI_LNC064286)". The record is from RNAcentral. Lineage: Eukaryota; Viridiplantae; Streptophyta; Magnoliopsida; Arecales; Arecaceae.
CCUGCACCAUGAAUAUGUUCAUGAGUAUGGAAUCAUGUCAAACUCAAAUACAUAUUCAUAUCGAUUUUUAAUUAAUCAAUGAUGACUCUGAUAAAGAAGUGUUAGAAAUUCUUUCUAAUCUCCUUCUUGUUUUUAGCCAAAAGAAUUUUUUCAAGUCAUCUAGGAUUGAGAAUACAUAGGAUGCGAUCUCCUCUUACUAAAAAUGAUUGAUUCUAGUUGACCUACUCACAACCUCUAUACAUACUCCAC